GAUAGGCUCCUGUCGUUACCGUGAUUGGACACUGACACAGAGUCAACUAGCCUUAUGCGCGCGGUUCUUCGUGCGCGGAACCGCAGCGGUCCGAGCCACGAGGGGGGAGGCUCGGACCGCCGUC
RNAcentral lists this non-coding RNA (124 nucleotides) under Streptomyces sp. NRRL WC-3618. RNAcentral describes it as "Streptomyces RNA 3920". It matches the Rfam family "Streptomyces RNA 3920". From Rfam's summary of the family: Identified by deep sequencing of transcriptome at the end of exponential growth phase. The record is from Rfam by way of RNAcentral. Lineage: Bacteria; Bacillati; Actinomycetota; Actinomycetes; Kitasatosporales; Streptomycetaceae.